UACGAAGGGAGCUAGCGUUGUUCGGAAUCACUGGGCGUAAAGCGCACGUAGGCGGAUCUUUAAGUCAGAGGUGAAAUCCCAAGGCUCAACCUUGGAACUGCCUUUGAUACUGGGGAUCUUGAGUCCGGGAGAGGUGAGUGGAACUGCGAGUGUAGAGGUGAAAUUCGUAGAUAUUCGCAAGAACACCAGUGGCGAAGGCGGCUCACUGGCCCGGUACUGACGCUGAGGUGCGAAAGCGUGGGGAGCAAACGGG
This 253-nucleotide ribosomal RNA is filed under the name uncultured bacterium. RNAcentral describes it as "partial 16S ribosomal RNA". It matches the Rfam family "Bacterial small subunit ribosomal RNA", at positions 524 to 776 of the family's 1533-position model. The record is from RNAcentral.